This 253-nucleotide ribosomal RNA is filed under the name uncultured bacterium. RNAcentral describes it as "partial 16S ribosomal RNA". It matches the Rfam family "Bacterial small subunit ribosomal RNA", at positions 524 to 776 of the family's 1533-position model. The record is from RNAcentral.
UACGAAGGGGGCUAGCGUUGUUCGGAAUUACUGGGCGUAAAGGGCGCGUAGGCGGUGUGUCAAGUCAGGCGUGAAAGCCCCGGGCUCAACCUGGGAACCGCGCUUGAGACUGGCACGCUAGAGUUCGGGAGAGGAUGGUGGAAUUCCCAGUGUAGAGGUGAAAUUCGUAGAUAUUGGGAAGAACACCGACGGCGAAGGCAGCCCCCUGGGCUAACACUGACGCUCAGGCACGAAAGCGUGGGGAGCAAACAGG